AGCGCAGGAAUGUGAAAGGCUCCCGCCCGCCGCCAUUUUCUUUCUUUCUUGGCAGGCAGCGAGCGGGGCAGGAAGCAGUGGCGGAGCGAGUAUGGCGGACUAUUCCACGGUGCCCCCUCCUGCUUCGGGCGCCCCCGGGGGAGGCGGUGGUGGAGGUGGAGGAGUGAACGAUGCCUUUAAAGACGCGCUGCAGAGAGCUAGGCAGAUUGCAGCAAAAAUUGGAGGAGAUGCUGGUACAUCCAUGAAUUCCAAUGACUACGGUUAUGGAGGACAAAAAAGACCUCUCGAGGAUGGAGAUGGCUCUUGGACAAGUCCGAGCAGUACAACACACUGGGAGGGAAUGCCCUCUCCUUUUAAAGAUCAACCAGAUGCUAAGAAAGUUGCUCCUCAGAAUGACUCUUUUGGAAAUCAGCUACCACCAAUGCAUCAACAACAAAGGUCUGUGAUGACAGAGGAGUACAAAGUUCCAGAUGGAAUGGUUGGAUUUAUCAUCGGCAGAGGCGGAGAGCAGAUCUCACGCAUACAGCAAGAGUCAGGAUGUAAAAUACAGAUUGCACCUGAUAGUGGGGGCCUGCCUGAAAGAUCAUGCAUGCUAACUGGAACCCCAGAAUCUGUUCAAUCAGCGAAAAGAUUACUUGAUCAAAUAGUUGAAAAGGGAAGACCGGCACCUGGUUUUCAUCAUGGUGAUGGACCUGGAAACGCAGUCCAAGAAAUUAUGAUUCCAGCAAGUAAAGCAGGAUUAGUUAUUGGUAAAGGUGGAGAGACGAUUAAGCAAUUACAGGAGCGAGCAGGUGUCAAAAUGGUUAUGAUUCAAGAUGGUCCACAGAACACUGGUGCUGACAAGCCCCUUAGAAUAACUGGAGACCCUUAUAAAGUUCAACAAGCCAAGGAAAUGGUGCUGGAGUUAAUUCGUGAUCAAGGUGGCUUUAGAGAGGUGCGCAACGAAUAUGGGUCAAGAAUAGGAGGAAAUGAAGGGAUAGACGUUCCAAUACCACGGUUUGCUGUAGGUAUUGUAAUUGGAAGAAAUGGAGAGAUGAUAAAAAAGAUACAGAAUGAUGCUGGUGUUAGGAUCCAAUUUAAGCCAGAUGAUGGAACAACUCCAGAUAGAAUAGCCCAGAUCACGGGGCCUCCUGACAGAUGUCAGCACGCUGCAGAAAUUAUUACAGAUCUCCUUCGAAGUGUUCAGGCUGGUAACCCUGGUGGACCAGGAGGACCUGGUGGUCGAGGAAGGGGUAGAGGUCAAGGCAACUGGAACAUGGGGCCCCCUGGUGGAUUACAGGAAUUCAAUUUUAUUGUUCCCACUGGCAAAACUGGAUUAAUCAUUGGCAAAGGUGGUGAAACUAUUAAAAGCAUAAGCCAACAGUCUGGUGCUAGAAUAGAACUUCAAAGAAAUCCUCCACCUAAUGCAGACCCAAACAUGAAGAUGUUUACUAUCCGUGGAACGCCCCAGCAAAUAGAUUAUGCACGGCAACUUAUAGAAGAGAAGAUUGGAGGUCCGGUAAAUCCAUUGGGUCCACCUGUUCCCCAUGGACCCCAUGGUGUUGUUCCUGGCCCACAUGGACCUCCUGGGCCACCAGGCCCUGGUGCUCCCAUGGGACCAUAUAACCCAGCUCCUUAUAAUCCAGGGCCUCCUGGCCCAGCACCUCAUGGUCCUCCAGCUCCGUAUGCUCCACAAGGGUGGGGAAAUGCUUAUCCACACUGGCAGCCACCAAAUCCACCAGAUCCAGGAAAGCCAGGAACAGAUCCUAAUUCAGCAGCAUGGGCAGCUUACUAUGCUCACUACUAUCAGCAGCAAGCACAGCCACCACCUGCAGCCCCUCCUGGUGGACCAGCUACAACCCAAACCAACGGGCAAGGAGAUCAGCCAAACCCAGCACCAGCAGGGCAGGUUGACUACACAAAGGCAUGGGAGGAAUACUACAAAAAAAUGGGUCAAGCAGUUCCUGCACCUGCUGGAGCUCCGCCAGGUGGUCAGCCGGAUUACAGCGCAGCAUGGGCUGAGUACUACAGGCAGCAGGCAGCAUACUAUGCCCAGACAAGUCCCCAGGGAAUGCCGCAACAUCCUCCAGCACCACAGUGCCUUCCCAGACCUUCCACCUUAGGUUCUGCUGCAAAAAAGCAACAGACAUUUAAUCAUCACUGAAGAAAGGGAAGUGAGAUAAUUCAUUAUUUCUUAUCUCCAGUAAACAUUAUCUGCUAAGAGAAACCCAUUGUUUGCAAACUGCAACGAAGAACAAAAGAAUGAACCGUCUUCAGAACAUAUCAUGGAGUACCUCAUUUGUUAAUGGUGGAAAUUGACUGGGAACUGUCAAGAGUAUUAAUACUCCAGCUAUCUGCGGACUGCAAGCAAGCCUGAGAAACUCAUCCAGUGACUUUAUGGUGUAAAGGGUCAAGAUCCCGGCUUGCAGGAAUCUGAUACUGAUAAAGGUAAUGAACACAUCUUUGCCAGUACUUAAGUAAGAGAAGUACCUACUUUGCAGUAUUACGUUUUCCAUCUUUUUAGUGCAAUGACUGCCGAAAUGUUGUCAGUACAGUUAUGCUGAGAAAACUAGCUGAAAGAAAGUUCGUUUCAUAUUUUCCACCUAAACCAACAGCAGAUACUGUAAUGAUGUUUUGCUUUUGUUCCUGCCACUCAGUGUAUCAUGGCAUAAGAAGAAAUAUUUUAAGUAGACUGAAUUUCCCCUCACAUUAAGAAUUUCAUCAUAUUUUGUUAACUUAAUUUUGCAUUCUUCAUACAUUUUUAAUACCAAUAAGAACAUUUCCCACAUUUUAUCAAGCCAGAUGACCUUCCUUAAGCUACUCUCAAGUAUCCUCCUAUGACUUACGGUAUAAUUGUAUUUUACAAUUGUUUCUAACUGCCCUAAUUACAAGCAUCAGAUGUAAAUUACUAUAUUACUUUGAUUACUUUAAAAUUGGUACAUACCUCAGUUUUCUGUGCAAUGUCAUUCAUGGUUACGGUAUUCUGCUCUGCACCUGGUAUGUUUAAGAUUGCUUUCAGUUUCUACCUGAAAGAAACAGUUCUAGUUAUAUUCCUUUCUUUUCCUUUUAAAUGAUGCUUUGACCGUCUUCCUGUAAAUAAGUUUGCAUGGGCUGAAACUGAUGUAUCACAAUUUCAUUUGGUCCUUUGAGGCUUACAAAGAAAUGAAUAGGUUCUAAGUAUGCAACAGUAAUUAAAAGAACAAGCUUAUGAUUCACUAUUCAUGCUCAUACCCCCCUGCAUAGUCCCAGAUAUUGGUUUUUAAUUUCCAUUUUAAAAAGAAAGUCAGAGCUCUCAGCCAAGCUCUGGCUGCCCUGGCUGGCUGUUACGAAACUGUUUUUCUCAAUACUGUGCUAGCAGAAAGGAAUGUGCUCUGCACCUCUGCUGCUCCGCUUCAGGCUGAGGUCUGAGCCAGCAAGCUAAGGUUGCAAGAAGUCUGCAGAACACUUGGGCCAAACACAGCCUGCUGGAGAUGCUGCCUUGCCUUUGUACAGCUUUGGUAGAGAAGCAGGAUGAUCAUCAUGGCUGAUGUCUAUGAAAAUCAAAUUUAUUUGAAUAGAACCAUAAGGAUUAUUAUCACAAGAAACAUGCCAAUGGCUCAAUUACACCUUCAGUAUUUUUUGGCAGUGUGGAACAGAGUCUGUUUUGCUUUAAUGUAUGACAGCUGAUUCCUGACUCCCUGUUUCCUGCUACAUCCAGGAAAGCCCCAACUUUGCAGUGAGGUCAGUAUGAGUUCCAAACUCUUCCUAUGCACAGUACACUGUUGAACUGACAUCCCGCACCAGCCAGUGUUAGGCACGUACAAGACUUACAAAUAUUACAAUUCUCUGAAAUAAUUACAAAAAGAAUUUGUCACAUGAGUAUCAUCUAAAUUUAGAUAUAUUGAUAUAGAAAUGACACUUCCUUGAAAAAUUAAAAAGAAUGCAUUUUAUGAAUACUACUCUUUGUCUGUAGUAUCUAUCAGAGAGAAAAAAAGAGAAAAAAAGAAAGAGAAAAUGCUCAAAAUGAGCCAGGCUAGUUGUUCAUUUUUCCAAAAGAAAAUAGAAAAAUAUGCAAAACAGAGAAAAUACAUUGCAAUCCCAAUGAUGUAAGGGAUGAAGGCACUUUGAUUCUUUUUUUUUGUUACAUUUUUCCCCUCAAAAUAAGAUGGGAAUGGCAGGGAACGUUAUGUUUAAUUAAGUUCCUACUUAGUUUCAAAUUAGCUAUAGCAUAUUACAAUUCUGUUGUGUCUAAAAAGGCAGAUAACUUUACAGGCAUUCUUGAUCUUAAGGUCCCUAUAUGCAAUGGACAUCCAACCUUUUGGCUUGCCUGGGCUGCACUGAGUGAAGAGGGAAUUGUCUUGGGCCUUAUAUAUAUGUUGGUUGCUCCAAAAGAAAUGCCUCCUGUUUAUCUCCAUGAAAACAACAACCAAUACAAAGAGCACAGUAACACUGUUUGAUGGAACAAAUUCUCAGCUACAAAAUGCUAUUUUUCAGCAUAGUCACCACCAUUAGCUGUGCAGUUUUGCCAGUGAUGAACAAUACCCUGCAUGCUGAGGUCAUAAAAAUCUGCACCAGCAGAGGUGAUCCACUGUUGUUACAACCACUGUUGCACUGCACCAUCCACCGCCUCACUGUACCAACAUCCACUGUUUGGUCUCCAUCAACAUGCAGCUAGUGUCAGUGAGUGCCAUUUUUUCCACAUGGAAGAUUACAGUUACGCACAUUGGCUUCAUCCACACUUCCAGGUCAGAGGCUGUUUGGUCAGACUGCUCCUCUGCUGCCAUCUGUCAUGCAGCAACAGCAUGUUACAGAACAUUGGUGGGAAGAUUCAGCCUCUCCUGCCAUCCCACCAACAUCUGCCUCUGACGUCAUGGGCCAAUGUGAUAAAAUAGAACGCAUUACUUUCAGAGCAGCCGUCAUAAAAUAUAUGUUUUAUAUAUAAAAAGUAACAAAACUUAUUUUAAUUUUUUAAUGCUUUUUAAUAAAACAUAAAAAAGAGAGCUACAAAACUAUAAAACUAGUGAGAUAUGUGACCUUGUUUUUGUGAAACUUAACGCAUCAGCCUGGUUUGAUGGCAUGGCUGCAAUUCUUAGUGAGCUCUCAAGGUGUUCAUCAGAGAUGAUCGGUGAAAUUUUACUCUUCCUGUGUUUCAUCCUUCAAAACAGUUGCUCACAAAUAUACGUACUGCCUAAAGGUGAUGGCACGAGGAAGGCGUGACUGUGAAGUGAGGGGUAUCUCUCUCUGGUAAGAGAGGGAUUAUAAAAUUCUGGUAAAGAGACAAGAUUGAACUUUUUAUUGCAACUCUAUACAUUACUUGUGAAUUUUCAAAUGGAAUAUAUUUAUGUUGACUGAAAAUGGACUUACAAAUAAAAAAAAUUUUUUUUUUAAUUUUAAUUUUUUUUUUUUUUUUUUUUUUGCAAUCUUGAAACCUGUUCUCAAAUUCCUGUAUCAAAAUGGAAGGCAUGGCUGCGUAUUUUUCGAGGCUCACAGGACUGUGUUCAGCCAGUGUAUCCAAAUCCACACACAUAUAUUCCGUAACGUGAGCUGGCACUGCACUGCACCCCAUGUCCUGCUUUCAGCACAAGAAAGCAGGUUAGAUGUGCCUGCUAUAUGCGUUAAUGUACAUUUGUGUACUGUGCUGUUGAGUUUGGAUGUUUUAAGAGUUUAUCUUACUUCACGUGUAUAAGUGAUAUCCCAUAAUAAUCAGUAUGACUUAAAACUAAGACCCUUUGACUUCCUCAUUCUCCUGUGCAGGUCUGAGAGAAGCCUUAAUACAGGGCUGGAGCGGAAAAGUAAGUCCCAAAGUUAACCUCUUAUGAGAAAUGACUCCAUUUCACUUAAAAUACUCCUGUGAGGAUCAUUGCUGACCUUCACCAUAACAGCAUAACCCAUCCAUAGGGCUUCAUCUUGAAGUCACUUGAAAACCAUGGCUGAUUGAAAACCUACUAUGUGGAAUUAAUCACACAAAGCAGAUUCUGAGUAUGAAAACACAAUUUAGCUUUUGACCUUCUGGAUCAACUUUUUUGAUGGCCCUAAGUACCUGAAGCCUUUGGCAGUGUCACUGAGAUUGCUGGCAGCAGUGAGACCUACUUUCAAAAAACAAAUCGGAAAUUUUCUAAAAAAGCACAAGUAAUGGAAGAAGUAUUCCUUAUCAUAGAAUGCCCUGAGCUGGAAAGGACUCAUAAAGAUUGAGUCCAGCUCCUGGCUCCACAUGUAACCAGCAGAAUUCAAACCCUACGUCUGAGAGCAAUGUCCAAAUGCUUCUUGAACUCCAUCAGGCUUGGGGCCAUGCCCAAAGCCCCCUGGUGCAGACCUUUCCCUAACCCCCAGCUGCUCCUCCUCUGUCACAGCUCCAUGCUGUUCCCUCAGGCCCUACCAUUGCUACAGCAAGCAGAGCUCAGCACUGCCCUCCUCUCCCUGUGAGGAGCUGUAUGCCAUGAGGCCUGUCCUCAGUUCUGCACUGAACAAACCACAGGAUCUCAUUUGCUCCUCAUAUAUCUUGCCCUGCAGACCCUUCACUAUCUUCACAAAGCUCCUUUGGAUGCUUUCUAAUACUUUUACAUCCUUAUAUUGUGGUGACCAAACAUGCACACAGUGCUUGAGGUGAGGACACAUCAGUGUGGAGAGGAGUGGGACAAUCCCUUCCUUUACCCUCUGUCAGUGCUGGGCCUGGUGCACCACAGCCUUGUAAAUUCCCACUCUUUGAACUUCCAAAAAUGUGCCGGUCUAACUUGUCGUGGUCCUUCAAGAUGGUAGAUUCACCUCUGCCAUUUGGAAUACUGCCACAUCUCCUCUUACUUUCCAAUCCUUUGGCAUCACCUAACUGUUAAUGUGCUUGAAGGUUAGCCAGCUGGCUCCAACACGCUUCGCAGCUGUAAGUCAUCCUGCCUCCACCUUUGAUGCUAACAGAUAUGGAUGUAAAGCAGUAGGUCCUCACUACACAUGAUACAGCCCAUGUUUGCCCCCUCAUCCCUCUUCAUACCAGUUAUACCUCAAACAUGAACAGCAGCAGGACCUUGCCUCAGGGACCCCUCAAGUGGCUUCCUUCAAGGUCAGGAAGUCCUAAAGCCUACAAAUUGCAGAAGAAUAGUUCCCUCAUCACCUACUGAUAGCUUUGCAGAAAGCACGUGCUAAUUUUCCAACCCUAGAAACUUUGACGUGCUAUUUUCUAACAGUAGCAACUUUUAAGUAAGAUACUAUUUAAUACAAGCAAUGCUUAUUCUUUAGGGCAACAAGGAUCUACUUGUGUGUACUUACUUCAGAAGACAUUUGUCCUUCUAUUAUGAAGUUGUCCAAAAACUUAAGAUUCACUCUAGUCUUUUAUUUCCUGAGAUCAACAUAUCUGAAGAAAAGUCAUAGAAGCUCCUCAACAAAGACUUCCACUUCAAAAAUCCCAAGAUUACAAUGUUGAGCAUAGCUGACCAAAAAGCGGUGGCUUUUCUUUGCUCAUCCAGUCUCAUCACCUCAGCACUCACAUCACACCGCUCACAUCAUUUUUUUUCUCUCAUUUUACCUCCCUAAGCUUAAGAUAUAUCUCAGGAAAUGUUAAGUCUGGCAUUUUCGUGUUUAUACUGAAAGUCCUAGAUUGCAGUUCCAUCUUCAGAAGAGGUCUUCAUCAAGAUUUUUCCAGAAGGAAAACUUAACUUCCAGCAUUUGACCCAUGGUCUUACAUUUGGAAUUGUGUGGAAGAGAAAGCACCAUUAUGAGCAUGGCUUGACUGGAUGAAUGCAAAGCCAUCUCUCGAAAGUUUCAUGUCAAAAUUUAGUACAAAACCAAUAACGUGUAGAAAACUAGGCAACAGAUCAGAAAUACUCUGGGAACUUCACAGAGAAAAACAAUGUGUCUGUUUUCAAGCAUGUUAUUUGCAUACUCUUAAUGGUUAUGCCGUCAGCUCUGGUGAUAUGUCUUGAUUUGUUAUGAUUGUUGCACUUCAGCUUUUCACACAGACCUCCUAAAACCUUACUCCAGGCAAAACAUUCUAAAACUGAACAAAUUAAAACCAUUAAGGGGACACAAGAGGUUUGAUAGCUCCUAAGUCCUGAAAUCUACCUCCUUAAACAUGAUGUAUUUUUAUUUCGGUGCAGUAAUUAACAUCCUCACGUGAGAGAUGCAGAGAAAUACAAGUGUUUUACUACUCUUACGAAUAGGAGUACGAAGCCAGGACUUAAAAUAACCAUCAAGUUGCUCUGUGAUUCCUCCUUUCAGGAGGCCCCCCUGCCGUCUUCCUGGCUACUGUGAGUUAUAAAUAAGCCCUCUGCAGCACGGUCUGAGUUACGGUUACCAUCUGUCUCUCUUUGUGAUCCACUUGCAGGGAAGACUCCAUUAUAUAAGAAAACCAUAUUGUGAGACUUGGAAACUUAGCACUUGCAGCCAAAGCACUUAAGAGAGGAAAACACAGUCCGUAAUGCUAAAGUAUUUAAAGAAGGAUUAAAUAGAACUGGAAAGGGGAGGGGAAGGUGAGCAAGGCUCACCAUUUCUGUCCUUACUGCAACUUCUCUGGUAUGACACGACCAGUUGUUGUACUAAGUUACAGAUACUAAAGUAGAUUCUAAAAUUAUCGGGCACAGGGGAAGGUCCUGAGCUGGUAUAAACUGUCAGCUCCUCUGCAGCCAACGAACUAUGACAAUUAACACCAGCUGCCCAACCAUUACUUUUUGUAGAAUACAAAACUACUUCCAUUCAGCUGCAUUGCAUUCAUGAAGUCUUUAAUAGUAAAUUAGGACCUACCAAAAACUGACCCAGGUAGCUCAACUUCAUCUACAGUCUUUUCCUCCCUCUUUCAAUUUAUUGCACUUCAAGUCUUCUGUUACUGCAGAAUGGCCUUUGCAGAUAUGAUGCUGUUUAUAAAAAUCUACUUAGUAGAAGCUAUUUUGAAUAUGUUUAUACAACUCUGAAUACUCUUAAUGUGACGGUGCCACGCAGCCCAGCUGCUGUGUUAGAAAAAUAAACUCGCCCCUCUCUGUGGAAGAGGUCUGCCCCUUUAUUCCUUGGUCCCUUCAGUUGCUGUCAUGGGGUAGGCAUACUCCAGAACAAAGUGGGGCCCAGUGAAGCACUGGUGAGAUCUUCAGGCCCACGGUUCCAUGUUCCAAGACACCUGCUGACCCUGAUUACGAGGUGCAGUAAAUUGUGAAGUCAGAUCCCCGAGAGAAAAAUGCAUGUUUUGCCCCAUGCCAAAGUUCCUCCAGUCCCUGCCGUGUCCCGGAAGCUGAAGAGAAACCCUAAGAUUUGAGCUCAAUUCCUGCUGUCGUCACUGACAGACUUGAAGAGCGGGCACUGAACUGUGGGACAAAACGCUGCCAUGAGGUACGGCUGCUGUUUGCCUCUUCCCAUCUCAGAUGACAGCACACAGCCUACGUGCUGCUUGUCUGACACAUGGAUCCUUCACCGCAUGGAGUGAUCCACUGACCAUCUCCACUCUACUGAGCGCUGGGGCCGAUGUCUGAGGGCAGUGCCUCCCUCAAGGACAGGGCCACCGCAGCGCACAGCAGGGCUCACCCUGAGCAGCUCCACCUCAGCUUUCCCAUCUCAUUUCCAGCUCGGCUGUGGCUCCGUUCCUUGCUAAGAGCGCUACAAAGCGGAACGUCCAUGCGCUGUAAGUUACGGAUUAUCUGACAGAGGAAAACACCCAUGGACAGCAUUCCAGACACGGCUGGAGAAAGCAUUUCUUGGGGAUAUGCCCUGAACUGUCUGCCCACUUCUUGCAUUUCGACGAGGGUUUUCUGCACAUACCAGAUGCGUUCCCAUGUUGAAAGUUCACAUAAAUAGAAGCUGAAGUCUGAAAGAAAUAUCUAUUGUUGAUGCCUCUCUGCAACCAGAUGCUGUAACUCCUAUUCUGGAUGGGAAACAUCAGCCUCAUUUCUGACCUGAUUCUACGGACUUCUGAGAGCUCUGCGAUGUCAUGGAAGCAUUCCUGACCUAAAGGGAUACAUUUGUUUGAACCAAAAAUACCAGGUACUUAACCAUUUUCUAAAUAUUUUGGCAUAACAUAUUGUUUUUUUUUUGUUUUGUUUUAAAUCCUUUUAUUUCUGACAGAAGACCACAGAACUAAAUCCUUCGGAAACAGUCUCAUAUCAGCACUGUUGAAUAACAUUUGGGCUGUACUCUCUUCAGGAGUAUUUUAUAUAAAUACAAGGAUUGAUGUUUACUACCGUAAAAAUGUGUAUUUCUGCUUUUCUGUGAUGAAUGCUACGGUAUCAUUUUCUCAACAUUUUAUUGGACCAGACAAACCACAGCUUCCUGUGACACACUCAGUGCUCAGGUGGUACAUGUGAUGUGGAAUACGCCAUUUACUCUCUUACUGAUUCUGAAUACAGUUUGACACCUUACAGUUCAGUAUCACUCCAUUCACAGACUGCAGAAAGCUGCCAACAUACAGGAAUUUUUGAGCACUACGACAAGAGGGGAUAAGUAUGCUUAAGAUAAAUGAGAAGGGUGACACAAACUUCACAUUCUGGUAUUGCAGAUAUUAUCCACUGAGAAAAAAAGUAUAGCAGAGUACCAAGCUCAGCAACCUGAAUGGUGGAAACAGGGCAACAGCAGCAUUUGGAACUUCCAUUUUAUUACACAUGGAAUUAUACUCUUUUUUUUUUUUUUUUAAUAUAAUCAGUUGGCAUUCACACAAGUCAUAUGACACUUUUUCAUAGUCUUUAUCAAAUGAACACGACAAAAUGUUGGCUUCAGUAAAACCUAUGGAAACACACAGGUCCUCAUCUUCAAGUACCAUCAGUUUGGGCUAUGUGUGCAACAGUAGUUGAAAUGUUUCUAAUCAAAGUUUGCUUCAAUAUGCUACAUUACAACAACAUGCUCCUGAAUAGCUAAAUUAUUAGAAUUAGUCUGUAAAUAGUCUUAUUACUUACUUAACACAGGCUGGAUUCUUGUAGGCAGGCUUUCUGUGGCCAAGAAUACAUCAAGGUAGUUUAAAAGCUAACUAGGAAACCUUGUUUCAGUUUAUAGGAAUUCAAGACUAUAGAUCAUUAUUAGCUCUUGCACACUCAAAAUGUUGCUGCACGUUUCCUCAUGCCUCAUUAAUGUGUUGCCUCCUACACAAAGUUAAGGUUUCCAUGUCCUGAGCCACCACACUUUUGCAUGUGAACAUUUAUGGCCAAAAUCACCACAUUUCCUCCUUGAAUAGAUAAUUGACCUCCUUACAAGGAAGGCAGGAAGACGUAAAUGCUUUUAAUUACAAAACACUGCCCUUGAUUCUGCUUCAUGAUUAAAAAAUUAUCAUGAUUUAAAAAUGUAUUUUGAAAUGCUACAUAAGAACUAAGAAUUAUAUCCACCACCACCAUUUAAAGUCUCUACAGUUAAAAAAAAAAACAAAACUGGUGAAACUAGCAUAGCUGUUUGGAUAUAAAAAGUGGUCUCAUACAAACACCUUCAUGAUUAUUAGAAUUCACAGAAAAAAUAAAGCAAAAAAUGCAUACUGGAAGUCGUUACUGCCCAAAUGGUGCCUGCAUCACUCUUAUUAUACUGUAGUACAAAACGACUGCUUACAUCCACACACACAUAACUUCAGGGCAGCGGCAACAUGUUCAGUUUUGUGACUGUGAUUACUUUACUGCACGCAUCACAUGAAUUAGAGACUGUAUAACUGUAUACACCCCCAUUGAAACACCUCCUUGGUCUAGACACAUCAUGACUUUGAGACUCUGUAGUGAACAUUUUGUACUAUAAACCUUUACAUGAGACACAUCCAUCAGCUCCACUUACAAAUUAUCUGUGGCAAAAGUACAGUAUUUCAUAAA
RNA transcript from Gallus gallus (chicken), 11702 nucleotides. It is a transcript of the gene named far upstream element binding protein 1, with no coding region annotated. The transcript is spliced from 24 exons. The record is from RefSeq and is marked provisional. Lineage: Eukaryota; Metazoa; Chordata; Aves; Galliformes; Phasianidae.